Molecule: ribosomal RNA, 245 nt
Filed under: uncultured bacterium
Lineage: Bacteria
Description: partial 16S ribosomal RNA
Rfam family: Bacterial small subunit ribosomal RNA
Source: RNAcentral
UAGGGGGCAAGCGUUAUCCGGAUUUACUGGGUGUAAAGGGAGCGUAGACGGCGGUGCAAGUCUGAUGUGAAAGCACGGGGCUCAACCCCGGGACUGCAUUGGAAACUGUACGGCUGGAGUGCAGGAGAGGUAAGUGGAAUUCCUAGUGUAGCGGUGAAAUGCGUAGAUAUUAGGAGGAACACCAGUGGCGAAGGCGGCUUACUGGACUGUAACUGACGUUGAGGCUCGAAAGCGUGGGGAGCAAA